GGCUCAGGAUGAACGCUAGCUACAGGCUUAACACAUGCAAGUCGAGGGGCAUCAGGAAGAAAGCUUGCUUUCUUUGCUGGCGACCGGCGCACGGGUGAGUAACACGUAUCCAACCUGCCCUUUACUCGGGGAUAGCCUUUCGAAAGAAAGAUUAAUACCCGAUAGCAUAAUGAUUCCGCAUGGUUUCAUUAUUAAAGGAUUCCGGUAAAGGAUGGGGAUGCGUUCCAUUAGGUUGUUGGUGAGGUAACGGCCCACCAAGCCUUCGAUGGAUAGGGGUUCUGAGAGGAAGGUCCCCCACAUUGGAACUGAGACACGGUCCAAACUCCUACGGGAGGCAGCAGUGAGGAAUAUUGGUCAAUGGGCGCUAGCCUGAACCAGCCAAGUAGCGUGAAGGAUGAAGGCUCUAUGGGUCGUAAACUUCUUUUAUAUAAGAAUAAAGUGCAGUAUGUAUACUGUUUUGUAUGUAUUAUAUGAAUAAGGAUCGGCUAACUCCGUGCCAGCAGCCGCGGUAAUACGGAGGAUCCGAGCGUUAUCCGGAUUUAUUGGGUUUAAAGGGAGCGUAGGUGGACUGGUAAGUCAGUUGUGAAAGUUUGCGGCUCAACCGUAAAAUUGCAGUUGAUACUGUCAGUCUUGAGUACAGUAGAGGUGGGCGGAAUUCGUGGUGUAGCGGUGAAAUGCUUAGAUAUCACGAAGAACUCCGAUUGCGAAGGCAGCUCACUGGACUGCAACUGACACUGAUGCUCGAAAGUGUGGGUAUCAAACAGGAUUAGAUACCCUGGUAGUCCACACAGUAAACGAUGAAUACUCGCUGUUUGCGAUAUACAGUAAGCGGCCAAGCGAAAGCAUUAAGUAUUCCACCUGGGGAGUACGCCGGCAACGGUGAAACUCAAAGGAAUUGACGGGGGCCCGCACAAGCGGAGGAACAUGUGGUUUAAUUCGAUGAUACGCGAGGAACCUUACCCGGGCUUAAAUUGCAGUGGAAUGAUGUGGAAACAUGUCAGUGAGCAAUCACCGCUGUGAAGGUGCUGCAUGGUUGUCGUCAGCUCGUGCCGUGAGGUGUCGGCUUAAGUGCCAUAACGAGCGCAACCCUUAUCUUUAGUUACUAACAGGUUAUGCUGAGGACUCUAGAGAGACUGCCGUCGUAAGAUGUGAGGAAGGUGGGGAUGACGUCAAAUCAGCACGGCCCUUACGUCCGGGGCUACACACGUGUUACAAUGGGGGGUACAGAAGGCAGCUAGCGGGUGACCGUAUGCUAAUCCCAAAAUCCUCUCUCAGUUCGGAUCGAAGUCUGCAACCCGACUUCGUGAAGCUGGAUUCGCUAGUAAUCGCGCAUCAGCCACGGCGCGGUGAAUACGUUCCCGGGCCUUGUACACACCGCCCGUCAAGCCAUGGGAGCCGGGGGUACCUGAAGUACGUAACCGCAAGGAUCGUCCUAGGGUA
Molecule: ribosomal RNA, 1440 nt
Filed under: uncultured organism
Description: SSU rRNA
Rfam family: Bacterial small subunit ribosomal RNA
Source: RNAcentral